This 253-nucleotide ribosomal RNA is filed under the name uncultured bacterium. Its description in RNAcentral is "partial 16S ribosomal RNA". It matches the Rfam family "Bacterial small subunit ribosomal RNA", at positions 524 to 776 of the family's 1533-position model. The record is from RNAcentral.
UACGUAGGGUGCGAGCGUUAAUCGGAAUUACUGGGCGUAAAGCGUGCGCAGGCGGUUUUGUAAGCCAGAUGUGAAAUCCCCGGGCUUAACCUGGGAAUGGCAUUUGGGACUGCAAGGCUUGAGUGCGGCAGAGGAGACUGGAAUUCCUGGUGUAGCAGUGAAAUGCGUAGAUAUCAGGAGGAACACCGAUGGCGAAGGCAGGUCUCUGGGCUGACACUGACGCUCAUGCACGAACGCGUGGGGAGCAAACAGG